Molecule: ribosomal RNA, 457 nt
Filed under: uncultured bacterium
Lineage: Bacteria
Description: partial 16S ribosomal RNA
Rfam family: Bacterial small subunit ribosomal RNA
Source: RNAcentral
CUACGGGCGGCUGCAGUAGGGAAUUUUCGGCAAUGGGGGAAACCCUGACCGAGCAACGCCGCGUGAAUGACGAAGUACUUCGGUAUGUAAAGUUCUUUUAUCAAGGAAGAACGACUCGUGGGAAAGCGAGUGUGACGGUACUUGAUGAAUAAGCCCCGGCUAACUAUGUGCCAGCAGCCGCGGUAAUACAUAGGGGGCGAGCGUUAUCCGGAAUUAUUGGGCGUAAAGGGUGCGUAGGCGGCCAUUUAAGUCUGAGGUAUAAGUGCAGUGCUUAACGCUGUGAUGCUUUAGAAACUGGAUGGCUAGAGUGUGGUAGAGGUAAGUGGAAUUCCAUGUGUAGCGGUAAAAUGCGUAAAUAUAUGGAGGAACACCAGUGGCGAAGGCGGCUUACUGGGCCACAACUGACGCUGAGGCACGAAAGCGUGGGGAGCAAACAGGAUUAGAUACCCGAGUAGUC